UCGAAUGCAUUCCAAUAAAUUCACAUAAUUCUAUAAAUUUUUUUUCAAAAAUUCUAUUCGUAGAUCAUAUCGCGAUAUCCCAUGAUCAAGCAUCCACAAUCCUAUACAGAAUCAAUUUCAAUAAUUAGAAAGAAUACGAAUACCAUAUUUCAAUGGUUUAGAUUGGGUCCGAUCAUCUAAUUUCAUCUAAUCAAAAUCUAAUUAGGACAUAAAUAAUCCAAAGUUUGACUAUCAGAUCAAAUCAGAUUCGAAGUGAUAGGACCGAGGUUUCUUCAUCGAUUUCAUAAAAUCAAGUGGAGAGAGAAAAUCAGAGGAGAGAGAAUUCAUGAGGUACAAUUCGAAUUGAUCAGGUGACACAAUCCAACAUUACGAUUGGUCCAAUAUCUCGAUUGGUGAAAUCAACAUGAUCAAAUCAAGUCAUGGCUAGAUCGGGA
Molecule: long non-coding RNA, 434 nt
Filed under: Elaeis guineensis (African oil palm)
Lineage: Eukaryota; Viridiplantae; Streptophyta; Magnoliopsida; Arecales; Arecaceae
Description: long non-coding RNA (EGUI_LNC037855)
Source: RNAcentral